RNAcentral lists this ribosomal RNA (517 nucleotides) under uncultured Glomus. Its description in RNAcentral is "SSU rRNA". It matches the Rfam family "Eukaryotic small subunit ribosomal RNA", at positions 569 to 1078 of the family's 1831-position model. The record is from RNAcentral. Lineage: Eukaryota; Fungi; Glomeromycota; Glomeromycetes; Glomerales; Glomeraceae.
AGCAGCCGCGGUAAUUCCAGCUCCAAUAGCGUAUAUUAAAGUUGUUGCAGUUAAAAAGCUCGUAGUUGAAUUUCGGGGUCAGUAGUAUUGGUCAUGCCACUGGUAUGUACUGGUCUCACUUGAUUCCUCCUUCCUGAUGAGCCGUAAUGCCAUUAAUUUGGGUGUUGCGAGGAAUCAGGACUGUUACUUUGAAAAAAAUUAGAGUGUUUAAAGCAGGCUCACGCUUGAAUACAUUAGCAUGGAAUAAUGAAAUAGGACGUUUGAUUCUAUUUUGUUGGUUUCUAGGAUCGACGUAAUGAUUAAUAGGGAUAGUUGGGGGCAUUUAGUAUUCAAUUGUCAGAGGUGAAAUUCUUGGAUUUUAUUGAAGACUAACUACUGCGAAAGCAUUUGCCAAGGAUGUUUUCUAUUAAUUCAAGAACGAAAGUUAGGGGAUCGAAGACGAAUCAGAUACCGUCGUAGUCUUAAACCAUAAACUAAUGCCGACUAGGGAUCGGAUGAUGUUAAUUUUUAAUGUACU